RNAcentral lists this ribosomal RNA (491 nucleotides) under uncultured bacterium. Its description in RNAcentral is "partial 16S ribosomal RNA". It matches the Rfam family "Bacterial small subunit ribosomal RNA", at positions 29 to 506 of the family's 1533-position model. The record is from RNAcentral.
AGUGAACGCUGGCGGUAGGCCUAACACAUGCAAGUCGAACGGCAGCACAGUAAGAGCUUGCUCUUACGGGUGGCGAGUGGCGGACGGGUGAGGAAUACAUCGGAAUCUACUUUUUCGUGGGGGAUAACGUAGGGAAACUUACGCUAAUACCGCAUACAACCUACGGGUGAAAGCAGGGGAUCUUCGGACCUUGCGCGAUUGAAUGAGCCGAUGUCGGAUUAGCUAGUUGGCGGGGUAAAGGCCCACCAAGGCGACGAUCCGUAGCUGGUCUGAGAGGAUGAUCAGCCACACUGGAACUGAGACACGGUCCAGACUCCUACGGGAGGCAGCAGUGGGGAAUAUUGGACAAUGGGCGCAAGCCUGAUCCAGCCAUACCGCGUGGGUGAAGAAGGCCUUCGGGUUGUAAAGCCCUUUUGUUGGGAAAGAAAAGCAGCAGGUUAAUACCCCGCUGUUCUGACGGUACCCAAAGAAUAAGCACCGGCUAACUUCGU